GACGUAGGGCGCAAGCGUUGUCCGGAUUUAUUGGGCGUAAAGCGCUCGUAGGCGGCUUGUUGCGUCGUCCGUGAAAACCUGUGGCUCAACUACAGGCUUGCGGUCGAUACGGGCGGGCUGGAGUUCGGUAGGGGAGACUGGAAUUCCUGGUGUAGCGGUGAAAUGCGCAGAUAUCAGGAGGAACACCGGUGGCGAAGGCGGGUCUCUGGGCCGAUACUGACGCUGAGGAGCGAAAGCGUGGGGAGCGAACAGG
RNAcentral lists this ribosomal RNA (253 nucleotides) under uncultured bacterium. Its description in RNAcentral is "partial 16S ribosomal RNA". It matches the Rfam family "Bacterial small subunit ribosomal RNA", at positions 524 to 776 of the family's 1533-position model. The record is from RNAcentral.